This 301-nucleotide ribosomal RNA is filed under the name uncultured bacterium. RNAcentral's name for it is "partial 16S ribosomal RNA". It matches the Rfam family "Bacterial small subunit ribosomal RNA", at positions 509 to 808 of the family's 1533-position model. The record is from RNAcentral.
CAGUAGCCACGGUAAUACGUAGGUGGCAAGCGUUGUCCGGAAUUAUUGGGUGUAAAGCGCGCGUAGGCGGUUUUUAAGUCUGAUGUGAAAGCCCACGGCUCAACCGUGGAGGGUCAUUGGAAACUGGAAAACUUGAGUGCAGAAGAGGAAAGUGGAAUUCCAUGUGUAGCGGUGAAAUGCGCAGAGAUAUGGAGGAACACCAGUGGCGAAGGCGACUUUCUGGUCUGUAACUGACGCUGAUGUGCAAAAGCGUGGGGAUCAAACAGGAUUAGAUACCCCAGUAGUCCCUGUCUCUUAUACA